Macaca nemestrina (pig-tailed macaque) is the source of this 136-nucleotide ribosomal RNA. NCBI's taxonomy places the organism in Eukaryota, Metazoa, Chordata, Mammalia, Primates, Cercopithecidae. The record is from Ensembl.
CUCCCUACCACCCUGAACACCUGAACACACCCAGUCUCGUCUGAUCUCAGAAGCUAAGCAGGGUCGGGCCUGGUUAGUACUUGGAUUGGAGAUAUGAGUUGCACGCAUCUUUACUCACUGUGAGAGUUGGAAGAGU